CAGCAGCCGCGGGAAUAUGAAGGGGGCUAGCGUUGCUCGGAAUGACUGGGCGUAAAGGGCGCGUAGGCGGAUGGCACAGUCAGAUGUGAAAUUCCCGGGCUUAACCUGGGGGCUGCAUUUGAUACGUGUUGUCUAGAGUGAGGAAGAGGGUCGUGGAAUUCCCAGUGUAGAGGUGAAAUUCGUAGAUAUUGGGAAGAACACCGGUGGCGAAGGCGGCGACCUGGUCCUUUACUGACGCUGAGGCGCGAAAGCGUGGGGAGCAAACAGGAUUAGAUACCCCCGUAGUCCCUGUCUCUUAUAC
RNAcentral lists this ribosomal RNA (301 nucleotides) under uncultured bacterium. RNAcentral describes it as "partial 16S ribosomal RNA". It matches the Rfam family "Bacterial small subunit ribosomal RNA", at positions 509 to 807 of the family's 1533-position model. The record is from RNAcentral.